AUGAACGCUAGCGGCAGGCCUAACACAUGCAAGUCGAGGGGCAGCACAGGUAGCAAUACUGGGUGGCGACCGGCGGAUGGGUGCGUAACACGUAUGCAACCUACCAUUGAUUGGGGCAUAGCCCGAAGAAAUUCGGAUUAAUACUCCAUAAUAUUCAUCAAAGGCAUCUUUUAUGAAUUAAAGCUUUUGCGAUCAAUGAUGGGCAUGCGUGACAUUAGUUAGUUGGUGAGGUAACGGCUCACCAAAACGAUGAUGUCUAGGGGUUCUGAGAGGAUUAUCCCCCACAUUGGUACUGAGACACGGACCAGACUCCUACGGGAGGCAGCAGUGAGGAAUAUUGGUCAAUGGACGCAAGUCUGAACCAGCCAUGCCGCGUGCAGGGUGACGGCCCUAUGGGUUGUAAACUGCUUUUCCACGGGAAGAACCCUCCGACGUGUCGGAGACUGACGGUACCGUGGGAAUAAGCAUCGGCUAACUCCGUG
RNAcentral lists this ribosomal RNA (482 nucleotides) under uncultured bacterium. RNAcentral's name for it is "bacterial SSU rRNA". It matches the Rfam family "Bacterial small subunit ribosomal RNA", at positions 29 to 507 of the family's 1533-position model. The record is from RNAcentral.